Molecule: non-coding RNA, 87 nt
Filed under: Clostridium botulinum
Lineage: Bacteria; Bacillati; Bacillota; Clostridia; Eubacteriales; Clostridiaceae
Description: TPP riboswitch (THI element)
Rfam family: TPP riboswitch aptamer (THI element)
About the family: Vitamin B(1) in its active form thiamin pyrophosphate (TPP) is an essential coenzyme that is synthesised by coupling of pyrimidine and thiazole moieties in bacteria. The previously detected thiamin-regulatory element, thi box was extended, resulting in a new, highly conserved RNA secondary structure, the THI element, which is widely distributed in eubacteria and also occurs in some archaea.
Source: RNAcentral
GUUGUGGGGGUGCCUUGGGGCUGAGAAGAUUUAAACAUCUAACUCUAAUAACCUGAUCCAGAUAAUACUGGCGUAGGGAAGCAACUU